RNAcentral lists this ribosomal RNA (439 nucleotides) under uncultured bacterium. RNAcentral describes it as "partial 16S ribosomal RNA". It matches the Rfam family "Bacterial small subunit ribosomal RNA", at positions 338 to 795 of the family's 1533-position model. The record is from RNAcentral.
CCUACGGGAGGCAGCAGUGGGGAAUAUUGCACAAUGGGCGAAAGCCUGAUGCAGCAACGCCGCGUGAGUGAUGAAGGCCUUCGGGUCGUAAAACUCUGUCCUCAAGGAAGAUAAUGACGGUACUUGAGGAGGAAGCCCCGGCUAACUACGUGCCAGCAGCCGCGGUAAUACGUAGGGGGCUAGCGUUAUCCGGAUUUACUGGGCGUAAAGGGUGCGUAGGCGGUCUUUCAAGUCAGGAGUGAAAGGCUACGGCGCAACCGUAGUAAGCUCUUGAAACUGGGGGACUUGAGUGCAGGAGAGGAGAGUGGAAUUCCUAGUGUAGCGGUGAAAUGCGUAGAUAGUAGGAGGAACACCAGUUGCGAAGGCGGCUCGCUGGACUGUAACUGACGCUGAGGCACGAAAGCGUGGGGAGCAAACAGGAUUAGAUACCCCAGUAGUC